GUUCAGGGGUAAACCUGCGAAACUCGAAUGAACGAACGGAGAGAUUCAUCGUCAUUUCGCGGCGUUCGAGCGGGCGUUUCGAUGUCACCGGUCACGAUCGGGCGACACGGCGCCAGUUCGUAUACGUUCGUGGACGGCGUGCACUUCUCUCUUAGUAAUACAUCGCGACCCGUUCGAUGUCGGUCUAAGCGCCUUCGGCGGGAGCCCUUACUAGAGUCUAGUGCUCAAGUUUGGACCGCUAAGGUUGCCGACCGGCCGUCGGACGGUAAGAUAAGUGAACCGCGCACGCGUUAACGCGCGUCCGGCCCGACGCAAGGUAACGUCGUAUUCGAAUUUCUGCCUUUGUGCGGAGGUCGUUGCGGCGCACCUGACGUUGCCGCCGUGCAGUCUCGGACAGUGCGCGUCUCUGUCUGCGAUGAUUCUGUUUCGGGCACUCGCAGGACCCGUCUUGAAACACGGACCAAGGAGUCUAGCAUGUGUGCGAGUCAUUGAGAUUUGAAAAACUGAAAGGCGCAACGAAAGUGAAGGCGCGCGCUCGUCGCGCGCUCAGGGAGGAUGGAGCGUCGGUCUCGAUCGAUCUCUCGCACUCCCGAGGCGUCUCGUUUCCAAUCCGUGAAUGCAGGCGCGCUCUGAGCACAGAUGCUGGGACCCGAAAGAUG
Molecule: ribosomal RNA, 659 nt
Filed under: Birthamoides plagioscia
Lineage: Eukaryota; Metazoa; Arthropoda; Insecta; Lepidoptera; Limacodidae
Description: partial 28S ribosomal RNA
Rfam family: Eukaryotic large subunit ribosomal RNA
Source: RNAcentral